GGUUAAGCGACUAAGCGUACACGGUGGAUGCCCUGGCAGUCAGAGGCGAUGAAGGACGUGCUAAUCUGCGAAAAGCGCCGGCGAGGUGAUAUGAACCUUUGACCCGGCGAUGUCCGAAUGGGGAAACCCAGUGCAAUCCGUUGCACUAUCGUUAACUGAAUACAUAGGUUAACGAGGCGAACCGGGGGAACUGAAACAUCUAAGUACCCCGAGGAAAAGAAAUCAACCGAGAUUCCCCCAGUAGCGGCGAGCGAACGGGGAGCAGCCCGGAGUCUGAAUCAGCUUGUGUGUUAGUGGAACGGUCUGGAAAGUCCGACGGUACAGGGUGAUAGUCCCGUACACGAAAGCACACUUGCUGUGAACUCGAAGAGUAGGGCGGGACACGUGGUAUCCUGUCUGAAUAUGGGGGGACCAUCCUCCAAGGCUAAAUACUCCUGACUGACCGAUAGUGAACCAGUACCGUGAGGGAAAGGCGAAAAGAACCCCGGCGAGGGGAGUGAAAAAGAACCUGAAACCGUGUACGUACAAGCAGUGGGAGCCUCUUUAUGGGGUGACUGCGUACCUUUUGUAUAAUGGGUCAGCGACUUAUAUUCUGUAGCAAGGUUAACCGUAUAGGGGAGCCGAAGGGAAACCGAGUCUUAACUGGGCGUUAAGUUGCAGGGUAUAGACCCGAAACCCGGUGAUCUAGCCAUGGGCAGGUUGAAGGUUGGGUAACACUAACUGGAGGACCGAACCGACUAAUGUUGAAAAAUUAGCGGAUGACCUGUGGCUGGGGGUGAAAGGCCAAUCAAACCGGGAGAUAGCUGGUUCUCCCCGAAAGCUAUUUAGGUAGCGCCUCGUGAACUCAUCUUCGGGGGUAGAGCACUGUUUCGGCUAGGGGGCCAUCCCGGCUUACCAACCCGAUGCAAACUACGAAUACCGAAGAAUGUUAUCACGGGAGACACACGGCGGGUGCUAACGUCCGUCGUGAAGAGGGAAACAACCCAGACCGCCAGCUAAGGUCCCAAAGUCAUGGUUAAGUGGGAAACGAUGUGGGAAGGCACAGACAGCCAGGAUGUUGGCUUAGAAGCAGCCAUCAUUUAAAGAAAGCGUAAUAGCUCACUGGUCGAGUCGGCCUGCGCGGAAGAUGUAACGGGGCUAAACCAUGCACCGAAGCUGCGGCAGCGACGCUUAGGCGUUGUUGGGUAGGGGAGCGUUCUGUAAGCCGUCGAAGGUGUCCUGUGAGGGGUGCUGGAGGUAUCAGAAGUGCGAAUGCUGACAUAAGUAACGAUAAAGCGGGUGAAAAGCCCGCUCGCCGGAAGACCAAGGGUUCCUGUCCAACGUUAAUCGGGGCAGGGUGAGUCGACCCCUAAGGCGAGGCCGAAAGGCGUAGUCGAUGGGAAACAGGUUAAUAUUCCUGUACUUGGUGUUACUGCGAAGGGGGGACGGAGAAGGCUAUGUCAGCCGGGCGACGGUUGUCCCGGUUUAAGCAUGUAGGCGGAGGUUCCAGGUAAAUCCGGUACCUUGUUAACGCUGAGGUGUGAUGACGAGGCACUACGGUGCUGAAGUGAUAAAUGCCCUGCUUCCAGGAAAAGCCUCUAAGCAUCAGGUAACACGAAAUCGUACCCCAAACCGACACAGGUGGUCAGGUAGAGAAUACCAAGGCGCUUGAGAGAACUCGGGUGAAGGAACUAGGCAAAAUGGUGCCGUAACUUCGGGAGAAGGCACGCUGAUAUGUAGGUGAAGUCCCUGCGGACGGAGCUGAAAUCAGUCGAAGAUACCAGCUGGCUGCAACUGUUUAUUAAAAACACAGCACUGUGCAAACACGAAAGUGGACGUAUACGGUGUGACGCCUGCCCGGUGCCGGAAGGUUAAUUGAUGGGGUUAGCGGCAACGCGAAGCUCUUGAUCGAAGCCCCGGUAAACGGCGGCCGUAACUAUAACGGUCCUAAGGUAGCGAAAUUCCUUGUCGGGUAAGUUCCGACCUGCACGAAUGGCGUAAUGAUGGCCAGGCUGUCUCCACCCGAGACUCAGUGAAAUUGAACUCGCUGUGAAGAUGCAGUGUACCCGCGGCAAGACGGAAAGACCCCGUGAACCUUUACUAUAGCUUGACACUGAACACUGGUCCUUGAUGUGUAGGAUAGGUGGGAGGCUUUGAAGCGUGGACGCCAGUCUGCGUGGAGCCAACCUUGAAAUACCACCCUUUAAUGGCUGGUGUUCUAACGUAGACCCGUAAUCCGGGUUGCGGACAGUGUCUGGUGGGUAGUUUGACUGGGGCGGUCUCCUCCCAAAGAGUAACGGAGGAGCACGAAGGUUGGCUAAUCCUGGUCGGACAUCAGGAGGUUAGUGCAAUGGCAUAAGCCAGCUUGACUGCGAGCGUGACGGCGCGAGCAGGUGCGAAAGCAGGUCAUAGUGAUCCGGUGGUUCUGAAUGGAAGGGCCAUCGCUCAACGGAUAAAAGGUACUCCGGGGAUAACAGGCUGAUACCGCCCAAGAGUUCAUAUCGACGGCGGUGUUUGGCACCUCGAUGUCGGCUCAUCACAUCCUGGGGCUGAAGUAGGUCCCAAGGGUAUGGCUGUUCGCCAUUUAAAGUGGUACGCGAGCUGGGUUUAGAACGUCGUGAGACAGUUCGGUCCCUAUCUGCCGUGGGCGCUGGAGAAUUGAGGGGGGCUGCUCCUAGUACGAGAGGACCGGAGUGGACGCAUCACUGGUGUUCGGGUUGUCAUGCCAAUGGCACUGCCCGGUAGCUAAAUGCGGAAGAGAUAAGUGCUGAAAGCAUCUAAGCACGAAACUUGCCCCGAGAUGAGUUCUCCCUGAGACUUUAAGUCUCCUGAAGGAACGUUGAAGACGACGACGUUGAUAGGUCGGGUGUGUAAGCGCAGCGAUGCGUUGAGCUAACCGAUACUAAUGAACCGUGAGGCUUAACCUU
This 2906-nucleotide ribosomal RNA is filed under the name Enterobacter hormaechei. RNAcentral's name for it is "23S ribosomal RNA". It matches the Rfam family "Bacterial large subunit ribosomal RNA". The record is from RNAcentral. Lineage: Bacteria; Pseudomonadati; Pseudomonadota; Gammaproteobacteria; Enterobacterales; Enterobacteriaceae.